Molecule: ribosomal RNA, 2588 nt
Filed under: Escherichia coli
Lineage: Bacteria; Pseudomonadati; Pseudomonadota; Gammaproteobacteria; Enterobacterales; Enterobacteriaceae
Description: partial 23S ribosomal RNA
Rfam family: Bacterial large subunit ribosomal RNA
Source: RNAcentral
GCGAUACAGGGUGACAGCCCCGUACACAAAAAUGCACAUAUUGUGAGCUCGAUGAGUAGGGCGGGACACGUGGUAUCCUGUCUGAAUAUGGGGGGACCAUCCUCCAAGGCUAAAUACUCCUGACUGACCGAUAGUGAACCAGUACCGUGAGGGAAAGGCGAAAAGAACCCCGGCGAGGGGAGUGAAAAAGAACCUGAAACCGUGUACGUACAAGCAGUGGGAGCCUCUUUUAUGGGGUGACUGCGUACCUUUUGUAUAAUGGGUCAGCGACUUAUAUUCUGUAGCAAGGUUAACCGAAUAGGGGAGCCGAAGGGAAACCGAGUCUUAACUGGGCGUUAAGUUGCAGGGUAUAGACCCGAAACCCGGUGAUCUAGCCAUGGGCAGGUUGAAGGUUGGGUAACACUAACUGGAGGACCGAACCGACUAAUGUUGAAAAAUUAGCGGAUGACUUGUGGCUGGGGGUGAAAGGCCAAUCAAACCGGGAGAUAGCUGGUUCUCCCCGAAAGCUAUUUAGGUAGCGCCUCGUGAAUUCAUCUCCGGGGGUAGAGCACUGUUUCGGCAAGGGGGUCAUCCCGACUUACCAACCCGAUGCAAACUGCGAAUACCGGAGAAUGUUAUCACGGGAGACACACGGCGGGUGCUAACGUCCGUCGUGAAGAGGGAAACAACCCAGACCGCCAGCUAAGGUCCCAAAGUCAUGGUUAAGUGGGAAACGAUGUGGGAAGGCCCAGACAGCCAGGAUGUUGGCUUAGAAGCAGCCAUCAUUUAAAGAAAGCGUAAUAGCUCACUGGUCGAGUCGGCCUGCGCGGAAGAUGUAACGGGGCUAAACCAUGCACCGAAGCUGCGGCAGCGACGCUUAUGCGUUGUUGGGUAGGGGAGCGUUCUGUAAGCCUGUGAAGGUGUGCUGUGAGGCAUGCUGGAGGUAUCAGAAGUGCGAAUGCUGACAUAAGUAACGAUAAAGCGGGUGAAAAGCCCGCUCGCCGGAAGACCAAGGGUUCCUGUCCAACGUUAAUCGGGGCAGGGUGAGUCGACCCCUAAGGCGAGGCCGAAAGGCGUAGUCGAUGGGAAACAGGUUAAUAUUCCUGUACUUGGUGUUACUGCGAAGGGGGGACGGAGAAGGCUAUGUUGGCCGGGCGACGGUUGUCCCGGUUUAAGCGUGUAGGCUGGUUUUCCAGGCAAAUCCGGAAAAUCAAGGCUGAGGCGUGAUGACGAGGCACUACGGUGCUGAAGCAACAAAUGCCCUGCUUCCAGGAAAAGCCUCUAAGCAUCAGGUAACAUCAAAUCGUACCCCAAACCGACACAGGUGGUCAGGUAGAGAAUACCAAGGCGCUUGAGAGAACUCGGGUGAAGGAACUAGGCAAAAUGGUGCCGUAACUUCGGGAGAAGGCACGCUGAUAUGUAGGUGAAGUCCCUUGCGGAUGGAGCUGAAAUCAGUCGAAGAUACCAGCUGGCUGCAACUGUUUAUUAAAAACACAGCACUGUGCAAACACGAAAGUGGACGUAUACGGUGUGACGCCUGCCCGGUGCCGGAAGGUUAAUUGAUGGGGUCAGCGCAAGCGAAGCUCUUGAUCGAAGCCCCGGUAAACGGCGGCCGUAACUAUAACGGUCCUAAGGUAGCGAAAUUCCUUGUCGGGUAAGUUCCGACCUGCACGAAUGGCGUAAUGAUGGCCAGGCUGUCUCCACCCGAGACUCAGUGAAAUUGAACUCGCUGUGAAGAUGCAGUGUACCCGCGGCAAGACGGAAAGACCCCGUGAACCUUUACUAUAGCUUGACACUGAACAUUGAGCCUUGAUGUGUAGGAUAGGUGGGAGGCUUUGAAGUGUGGACGCCAGUCUGCAUGGAGCCGACCUUGAAAUACCACCCUUUAAUGUUUGAUGUUCUAACGUGGACCCGUGAUCCGGGUUGCGGACAGUGUCUGGUGGGUAGUUUGACUGGGGCGGUCUCCUCCUAAAGAGUAACGGAGGAGCACGAAGGUUGGCUAAUCCUGGUCGGACAUCAGGAGGUUAGUGCAAUGGCAUAAGCCAGCUUGACUGCGAGCGUGACGGCGCGAGCAGGUGCGAAAGCAGGUCAUAGUGAUCCGGUGGUUCUGAAUGGAAGGGCCAUCGCUCAACGGAUAAAAGGUACUCCGGGGAUAACAGGCUGAUACCGCCCAAGAGUUCAUAUCGACGGCGGUGUUUGGCACCUCGAUGUCGGCUCAUCACAUCCUGGGGCUGAAGUAGGUCCCAAGGGUAUGGCUGUUCGCCAUUUAAAGUGGUACGCGAGCUGGGUUUAGAACGUCGUGAGACAGUUCGGUCCCUAUCUGCCGUGGGCGCUGGAGAACUGAGGGGGGCUGCUCCUAGUACGAGAGGACCGGAGUGGACGCAUCACUGGUGUUCGGGUUGUCAUGCCAAUGGCACUGCCCGGUAGCUAAAUGCGGAAGAGAUAAGUGCUGAAAGCAUCUAAGCACGAAACUUGCCCCGAGAUGAGUUCUCCCUGACCCUUUAAGGGUCCUGAAGGAACGUUGAAGACGACGACGUUGAUAGGCCGGGUGUGUAAGCGCAGCGAUGCGUUGAGCUAACCGGUACUAAUGAACCGUGAGGCUUAACCUU